GACGAACGCUGGCGGCGUGCUUAACACAUGCAAGUCGAACGGAAAGGCCCCCAUCUUGGUGGGGGUGCUCGAGUGGCGAACGGGUGAGUAACACGUGGGUGAUCUGCCCUGUACUUCGGGAUAAGCUUGGGAAACUGGGUCUAAUACCGGAUAGGACCAUGGUUUAGUGUCUCAUGGUGGAAAGAUUAUUGUUUUGGUGCAGGAUGAGCUCGCGGCCUAUCAGCUUGUUGGUGGGGUAAUGGCCUACCAAGGCGUCGACGGGUAGCCGGCCUGAGAGGGUGGACGGCCACAUUGGGACUGAGAUACGGCCCAGACUCCUACGGGAGGCAGCAGUGGGGAAUAUUGCACAAUGGGCGCAAGCCUGAUGCAGCGACGCCGCGUGGGGGAUGACGGCCUUCGGGUUGUAAACUCCUUUCGUUAGGGACGAAGCCGCACUUCUUUUGGGUGUGGUGACGGUACCUUUGUUAAGAAGCACCGGCUAACUACGUG
RNAcentral lists this ribosomal RNA (489 nucleotides) under uncultured bacterium. Its description in RNAcentral is "partial 16S ribosomal RNA". It matches the Rfam family "Bacterial small subunit ribosomal RNA", at positions 28 to 507 of the family's 1533-position model. The record is from RNAcentral.